ACUCCUACGGGAGGCAGCAGUGGGGAAUAUUGCACAAUGGGGGAAACCCUGAUGCAGCCAUGCCGCGUGUGUGAAGAAGGCCUUCGGGUUGUAAAGCACUUUCAGUAGGGAGGAAGGUAGUGUAGUUAACACCUGCACUAUUUGACGUUACCUACAGAAGAAGCACCGGCUAACUCCGUGCCAGCAGCCGCGGUAAUACGGAGGGUGCGAGCGUUAAUCGGAAUUACUGGGCGUAAAGCGCAUGCAGGCGGCCUGUUAAGUCAGAUGUGAAAGCCCGGGGCUUAACCUCGGAAUUGCAUUUGAAACUGGCAGGCUAGAGUCUUGUAGAGGGGGGUAGAAUUUCAGGUGUAGCGGUGAAAUGCGUAGAGAUCUGAAGGAAUACCAGUGGCGAAGGCGGCCCCCUGGACAAAGACUGACGCUCAGAUGCGAAAGCGUGGGGGAGCAAACAGGAUUAGAUACCCUGGUAGGAUAGCG
Molecule: ribosomal RNA, 474 nt
Filed under: uncultured bacterium
Lineage: Bacteria
Description: bacterial SSU rRNA
Rfam family: Bacterial small subunit ribosomal RNA
Source: RNAcentral